UCGGGUUGUAAAGCACUUUUGUCCGGAAAGAAAACCUCCGCCCUAAUAUGGUGGGGGGAUGACGGUGCCGGAAGAAUAAGCACCGGCUAACUACGUGCCAGCAGCCGCGGUAAUACGUAGGGUGCAAGCGUUAAUCGGAAUUACUGGGCGUAAAGCGUGCGCAGGCGGUUUCGCUAAGACAGAUGUGAAAUCCCCCGGGCUUAAACCGGGGAACUGCAUUUGUGACUGGCGGGCUAGAGUAUGGCAGAGGGGGGGUAGAAUUUCCACGUGUAGCAGUGAAAUGCGUAGAGAUGUGGAGGAAUACCGAUGGCGAAGGCAGCCCCAUGGGCCCAAUACUGACGCUCAUGCACGAAAGCGUGGGGAGCAAACAGGAUUAGAUACCCUGGUAGUCCACGCCCUAAACGAUGUCAACUAGUUGUUGGGGAUUCAUUUCCUUAGUAACGUAGCUAACGCGUGAAGUUGACCGCCUGGGGAGUACGGUCGCAAGAUUAAAACUCAAAGGAAUUGACGGGGACCCGCACAAGCGGUGGAUGAUGUGGAUUAAUUCGAUGCAACGCGAAAAACCUUACCUACCCUUGACAUGUAUGGAACCUGGCUG
RNAcentral lists this ribosomal RNA (598 nucleotides) under uncultured Burkholderia sp. RNAcentral's name for it is "bacterial SSU rRNA". It matches the Rfam family "Bacterial small subunit ribosomal RNA", at positions 418 to 1003 of the family's 1533-position model. Lineage: Bacteria; Pseudomonadati; Pseudomonadota; Betaproteobacteria; Burkholderiales; Burkholderiaceae. The record is from RNAcentral.